CCCUUGAGUUUGAUCCUGGCUCAGAUUGAACGCUGGCGGAAUGCUUUACACAUGCAAGUCGAACGAUGAACCUUAGCUUGCUAGGGGGAUUAGUGGCGGACGGGUGAGUAAUAUAUCGGAACGUGUCCAUUAAUGGGGGAUAACUAACCGAAAGGUUGGCUAAUACCGCAUACGCCCUGAGGGGGAAAGCUGGGGAUCUUCGGACCUGGCGUUAAUGGAGCGGCCGAUACCUGAUUAGCUAGUUGGUAGGGUAAUGGCCUACCAAGGCAACGAUCAGUAGCUGGUCUGAGAGGACGACCAGCCACACUGGGACUGAGACACGGCCCAGACUCCUACGGGAGGCAGCAGUGGGGAAUUUUGGACAAUGGGGGAAACCCUGAUCCAGCCAUUCCGCGUGAGUGAAGAAGGCCUUCGGGUUGUAAAGCUCUUUCGCAAGGGAAGAAAAGAUAUAGGUGAAUAGCUUAUGUUGAUGACGGUACCUUGACAAGAAGCACCGGCUAACUACGUGCCAGCAGCCGCGGUAAUACGUAGGGUGCAAGCGUUAAUCGGAAUUACUGGGCGUAAAGCGUGCGCAGGCUGUUUUGUAAGUCAGAUGUGAAAUCCCCGAGCUCAACUUGGGAACUGCGUUUGAAACUACAAGACUAGAAUAGGUCAGAGGGGGGUAGAAUUCCACGUGUAGCAGUGAAAUGCGUAGAGAUGUGGAGG
This 705-nucleotide ribosomal RNA is filed under the name uncultured bacterium. Its description in RNAcentral is "bacterial SSU rRNA". It matches the Rfam family "Bacterial small subunit ribosomal RNA", at positions 1 to 704 of the family's 1533-position model. The record is from RNAcentral.